UCAGUUUGACCGUUUGACAGUUGUGAAAAGUCCUUUAUGCCCUUGACCCUUAACAUCUUCUAUACUUAAUCUCAGUUCAUCAUGAUUCGAACAGUUUCAUCACACUUCUCAACCAAAUCUGUGAAGAAAAUCUCUCCCAUCUCCCAACACCGAUUAUCAUCAUCAUCAUCUGCAUCUUCCGAACAAUACAUCUUCAUCAUCUUCAUCAUCUUUAUUAGCUUCAUCAGCUUCAUCAUCUUCAUCGAUAACAUUCCAAGAAUGGCUGCGGAUGUAAAGAUACGCAAAACACCAACUACGAAGGCGAGAACACUUGACAACCUCCUAGAAGAUGGUGCGGUGCACAUAAGGAAGUGAUUGAUAU
Helianthus annuus (common sunflower) is the source of this 361-nucleotide long non-coding RNA. RefSeq lists it as uncharacterized. The record is from RefSeq and is a predicted model, not a curated record. The transcript has 2 exons. Lineage: Eukaryota; Viridiplantae; Streptophyta; Magnoliopsida; Asterales; Asteraceae.